This is a non-coding RNA of Phytophthora infestans T30-4, 74 nucleotides long. The record is from the annotation of a RefSeq genome assembly. NCBI's taxonomy places the organism in Eukaryota, Oomycota, Peronosporomycetes, Peronosporales, Peronosporaceae.
GGCCUCGUGGUCUCGUGGUAUGAUUCCUCGCUUCGCGGUGCGAGAGGUUCCGGGUUCGAUUCCACGUGAGGCCC